AUGCGUUCAUUUCGUUUAGAAGCUUAGAAGUUGCGCAGGUUUUCCCCUUCUCUGGAAUGAACUGAACCAAACGGUGUCGUUAGCGAGUGUGUGAAUGGCAGGGGGAAAGGCGAAGAAG
Molecule: non-coding RNA, 118 nt
Organism: Cajanus cajan (pigeon pea)
Lineage: Eukaryota; Viridiplantae; Streptophyta; Magnoliopsida; Fabales; Fabaceae
Source: RefSeq, a predicted model, not a curated record